UGGGACGGAGGAGUAGCAACUUUCCGUUCAUUUUGGCAAUUUCAUGGCACUAUGUUUCUGCAGUAAUGGUUUUUCUGGAUUUUAAGAAGCUAUAGUAGA
This is a long non-coding RNA of Octopus sinensis (East Asian common octopus), 99 nucleotides long. RefSeq lists it as uncharacterized. The record is from RefSeq and is a predicted model, not a curated record. NCBI's taxonomy places the organism in Eukaryota, Metazoa, Mollusca, Cephalopoda, Octopoda, Octopodidae. The transcript is spliced from 3 exons.